RNAcentral lists this ribosomal RNA (468 nucleotides) under uncultured bacterium. Its description in RNAcentral is "partial 16S ribosomal RNA". It matches the Rfam family "Bacterial small subunit ribosomal RNA", at positions 28 to 507 of the family's 1533-position model. The record is from RNAcentral.
GACGAACGCUGGCGGCGCGCCUAACACAUGCAAGUCGAACGGAGCUGAGAGAAGCUUGCUUUUCUUAGCUUAGUGGCGAACGGGUGAGUAACGCGUGAGUAACCUGCCCUGGAGUGGGGGACAACAGUUGGAAACGACUGCUAAUACCGCAUAAGCCCACGAUCCGGCAUCGGAUUGAGGGAAAAGGAUUUAUUCGCUUCAGGAUGGACUCGCGUCCAAUUAGCUAGUUGGUGAGGUAACGGCCCACCAAGGCGACGAUUGGUAGCCGGACUGAGAGGUUGAACGGCCACAUUGGGACUGAGACACGGCCCAGACUCCGACGGGAGGCAGCAGUGGGGGAUAUUGCACAAUGGGGGAAACCCUGAUGCAGCGACGCCGCGUGGAGGAAGAAGGUUUUCGGAUUGUAAACUCCUGUCGUUAGGGACGAUAAUGACGGUACCUAACAAGAAAGCACCGGCUAACUACGUG